AUGAACGCUAGCGGCAGGCUUAAUACAUGCAAGUCGAGGGGGCAGCGCAGUGUAGCAAUACAUGGGCGGCGACCGGCAAACGGGUGCGGAACACGUACACAACCUUCCUACAAGUGGGGGAAUAGCCCAGAGAAAUUUGGAUUAAUGCCCCAUAGUAUAUUUGAAUGGCAUCAUUUAAAUAUUAAAGUUCAGGCGGUACAAGAUGAGCAUGCGUCCCAUUAGCUAAUUGGUAUGGUAACGGCAUACCAAGGCAAUGAUGGGUAGGGGUCCUGAGAGGGAGAUCCCCCACACUGGUACUGAGACACGGACCAGACUCCUACGGGAGGCAGCAGUGAGGAAUAUUGGGCAAUGGGCGCUAGCCUGACCCAGCCAUGCCGCGUGCAGGAAGACGGUCCUAUGGAUUGUAAACUGCUUUUGUACGGGAAGAAACCCUACUACGUGUAAUAGAUUGACGGUACCGUACGAAUAAGGAUCGGCUAACUCCGUG
RNAcentral lists this ribosomal RNA (487 nucleotides) under uncultured bacterium. RNAcentral describes it as "bacterial SSU rRNA". It matches the Rfam family "Bacterial small subunit ribosomal RNA", at positions 29 to 507 of the family's 1533-position model. The record is from RNAcentral.